AGUGAACGCUGGCGGUAGGCCUAACACAUGCAAGUCGAACGGCAGCACAGUAAGAGCUUGCUCUUACGGGUGGCGAGUGGCGGACGAGUGAGGAAUACAUCGGAAUCUACUUUUUCGUGGGGGGUAACGUAGGGAAACUUACGCUAAUACCGCAUACGACCUACGGGUGAAAGCAGGGGAUCUUCGGACCUUGCGCGAUUGUAUGAGCCGAUGUCGGAUUAGCUAGUUGGCGGGGUAAAGGCCCACCAAGGCGACGAUCCGUAGCUGGUCUGAGAGGAUGAUCAGCCACACUGGAACUGAGACACGGUCCAGACUCCUACGGGAGGCAGCAGUGGGGAAUAUUGGACAAUGGGCGCAAGCCUGAUCCAGCCAUACCGCGUGGGUGAAGAAGGCCUUCGGGUUGUAAAGCCCUUUUGUUGGGAAAGAAAAGCAGCAGGUUAAUACCCCGCUGUUCUGACGGUACCCAAAGAAUAAGCACCGGCUAACUUCGUG
This 492-nucleotide ribosomal RNA is filed under the name uncultured bacterium. RNAcentral describes it as "partial 16S ribosomal RNA". It matches the Rfam family "Bacterial small subunit ribosomal RNA", at positions 29 to 507 of the family's 1533-position model. The record is from RNAcentral.